This 1235-nucleotide long non-coding RNA is filed under the name Monodelphis domestica (gray short-tailed opossum). RNAcentral's name for it is "lncRNA (ENSMODG00000044531.1)". Lineage: Eukaryota; Metazoa; Chordata; Mammalia; Didelphimorphia; Didelphidae. The record is from RNAcentral.
AUUUAAAUGAUUUACCCAGGACUUAAUCACUUACUCUUGCUUGUUGUAGUUUUUCUUUAGAGAGCUCUGAUUUUUCCUCUAUUUUCAGUUCAAAUUUUCAUCAUUAUUUUCUUUUUUAAUUUUCUUUUUUUCCCUUUUGGAAUUAUUCCCUUUUUUCUUGCUUUGUAGAAUGUGCUUGCUUGCUUAUUUUUUCAUUAAGCAUUUUCAAUUCAUUUCCUCUUACUGAAAAAAAAUAAAUUUGUCUAUGACUUUGAUGUCUUUUGACCUUUCCUUAUUUCCAUGCUCAUUUUUUCCUUUAUGAAUUUGUUUGUGAUCUCAUUUUGUCCUCAUACUUCCUCGGUUGGUUUUCUUGUCCUCCAUCCCUUACUUUCUUAAAAGAAUUUAUUAAGAAUUCAUAAUGUCUUGGUCCCUCACCCAGUCACGAGCUUUGAAUUUUCUUUUGUCUAGAACAGCAAAGUUGUAAGCUUUUAGAGCUUUCCUUGAGUUUAGGAUUUACAGUUGGUAGUAAAGUCUCUGAUUGCCACAUUAUUAUUACUCUCUUAGGGUUCAUGACUAUUGCUGAGUUUAUAUCUAGGCUUUCCAUCUCUCUCUGUGUAUUGGCUCUGGACUGUUGGGACUUCUGUUUUUCCUCUGCAGCCACUGGCUUAAAGUUACUCAGAAAAAAUCUAUGCAAUAUCCAAAUGCCAGUCCUUGAAAUAUUUGAAGUUUUAAGACAAAGUAGCAAAGCUAGCAUCAUUGAUAUCCCUGAGAUUUAGAAGAUUGGAAUGGUUGCUGCUGAAAUAAUCAAGAGGUUGCGGUUUAUACUUGAUAAGAUGGAUAAAUGAGGAAUACUGAAGGACAUCAAGAUAUUUAUCAGGCUUGAACUAUCUACUUCUUGAACGAAGUAUUAAGCAACAGGAAUGAAAAGCUUUGGUUACUGGAGGAAGAUUGGUUUUAUUUUGAAAAAAAAGAAGGAAGAUGAAUUGAAGAUGGCAGAAAGGAAUCCUGAUAUCUGUCAAGAACUUUGGAGGGGAAAAAAUGCUCCAUAUAGAAUUCAUAAUGGAAGAGAAGAAAGCAAGGAAUUGUCUAAUAUUUAUUUUUUAUUUGGAGAAAGAUUUCAGAACUUUGGAUACAUAGGUUUCCAUGGCCUAAAAUUCUGCAGUAGAAUGUUAACUCCGGAGAGGUGGCAAAGAAAGAAAGAACAUAUGAAAUCACAAAGAAGAAUUAUUUUAUCUAAAAGGACUAGGGAGCAUUGA